Molecule: non-coding RNA, 23 nt
Filed under: Arabidopsis thaliana (thale cress)
Lineage: Eukaryota; Viridiplantae; Streptophyta; Magnoliopsida; Brassicales; Brassicaceae
Source: RNAcentral
CCAAGGAUCGAUGAGUUGUUGGA